This 536-nucleotide ribosomal RNA is filed under the name Curvularia inaequalis. Its description in RNAcentral is "eukaryotic LSU rRNA". The stretch from base 168 to 321 matches the Rfam family "5.8S ribosomal RNA". Lineage: Eukaryota; Fungi; Ascomycota; Dothideomycetes; Pleosporales; Pleosporaceae. The record is from RNAcentral.
AUUACACAAUACAAUAUGAAGGCCGUACGCGGCUGGAUUAUUUUAUUACCCUUGUCUUUUGCGCACUUGUUGUUUCCUGGGCGGGUUCGCCCGCCACCAGGACCACACCAUAAACCUUUUUUAUGCAGUUGCAAUCAGCGUCAGUACAACAAAUGUAAAUCAUUUACAACUUUCAACAACGGAUCUCUUGGUUCUGGCAUCGAUGAAGAACGCAGCGAAAUGCGAUACGUAGUGUGAAUUGCAGAAUUCAGUGAAUCAUCGAAUCUUUGAACGCACAUUGCGCCCUUUGGUAUUCCAAAGGGCAUGCCUGUUCGAGCGUCAUUUGUACCCUCAAGCUUUGCUUGGUGUUGGGCGUUUUUUGUCUUUGGUUGCCAAAGACUCGCCUUAAAACGAUUGGCAGCCGGCCUCCUGGUUUCGCAGCGCAGCACAUUUUUGCGCUUGCAAUCAGCAACAGAGGGCGGCACUCCAUCAAGACUCCAUUUUCACGUUUGACCUCGGAUCAGGUAGGGAUACCCGCUGAACUUAAGCAUAUCAAA